AAAAACGGCCAGCAAAUCGUGAGUACAGUCGAUGACGAUCGUCAUUCCACCGCCGCCCAGUCCUUCGGGGUUGGGUUGGUGGAGCGUGUGAUCCGAUCUGGUAGUAGUCAAGCGUAUUAACAGGGGUGACGCAGGAGGGUAGCUUCCGCGUGGCGAUGGUUGUCCACGUCCAAGGGUGUAGGACGAGGGGUUGGCAAAUCCGCCUCUCUUGCUUUGAUGCUGAGUCUGAGACCUGAUGGUGACCCCGUAGGGGGGAAGUAGGGUGAUCCCAUGCUGUCUAGAAAAGCCUCGGCGCGAGGUUCGAGCCGCCCGUACCCUAAACCGACUCAGGUGAUCAGGUAGUGAAUACCAAGGCGACCGAGAGAAACGUGGUUAAGGGACUCGG
Molecule: ribosomal RNA, 385 nt
Filed under: Escherichia coli
Lineage: Bacteria; Pseudomonadati; Pseudomonadota; Gammaproteobacteria; Enterobacterales; Enterobacteriaceae
Description: partial 23S ribosomal RNA
Rfam family: Bacterial large subunit ribosomal RNA
Source: RNAcentral